Molecule: ribosomal RNA, 465 nt
Filed under: uncultured bacterium
Lineage: Bacteria
Description: bacterial SSU rRNA
Rfam family: Bacterial small subunit ribosomal RNA
Source: RNAcentral
CCUACGGGGUGCAGCAGCGGGGAAUAUUGCACAAUGGGCGCAAGCCUGAUGCAGCCAUGCCGCGUGUAUGAAGAAGGCCUUCGGGUUGUAAAGUACUUUCAGCGGGGAGGAAGGUGUUGUGGUUAAUAACCACAGCAAUUGACGUUACCCGCAGAAGAAGCACCGGCUAACUCCGUGCCAGCAGCCGCGGUAAUACGGAGGGUGCAAACGUUAAUCGGAAUUACUGGGCGUAAAGCGCACGCAGGCGUUCUGUCAAGUCGGAUGUGAAAUCCCCGGGCUCAACCUGGGAACUGCAUUCGAAACUGGCAGGCUUGAGUCCUGUAGAGGGGGGUAGAAUUCCAGGUGUAGCGGUGAAAUGCGUAGAGAUCUGGAGGAAUACCGGUGGCGAAGGCGGCCCCCUGGACAAGGACUGACGCUCAGGUGCGAAAGCGUGGGGAGCAAACAGGAUUAGAUACCCUGGUAGUC